UACGGAAGGCAGCAGUGGGGAAUAUUGCACAAUGGGCGCAAGCCUGAUGCAGCCAUGCCGCGUGUAUGAAGAAGGCCUUCGGGUUGUAAAGUACUUUCAGUCGUGAGGAAGGUGUUAAGGUUAAUAACCUUAGCAAUUGACGUUAGCGACAGAAGAAGCACCGGCUAACUCCGUGCCAGCAGCCGCGGUAAUACGGAGGGUGCGAGCGUUAAUCGGAAUUACUGGGCGUAAAGGGCACGCAGGCGGUUAAUUAAGUUGGAUGUGAAUCCCCGGGCUUAACCUGGGAAUGGCAUUCAAGACUGGUUAGCUAGAGUCUUGUAGAGGGGGUAGAAUUCCAUGUGUAGCGGUGAAAUGCGUAGAGAUGUGGAGGAAUACCGGUGGCGAAGGCGGCCCCUGGGACAAAGACUGACGCUCAUGUGCGAAAGCGUGGGGAGCAAACAGGAUUUAGAUACC
RNAcentral lists this ribosomal RNA (453 nucleotides) under uncultured bacterium. RNAcentral describes it as "bacterial SSU rRNA". It matches the Rfam family "Bacterial small subunit ribosomal RNA", at positions 340 to 786 of the family's 1533-position model. The record is from RNAcentral.